GACGAACGCUGGCGGCGUGCUUAACACAUGCAAGUCGAACGGAAAGGCCCUGCUUUUGUGGGAUGCUCGAGUGGCGAACGGGUGAGUAACACGUGAGUAACCUGCCCUUGACUUUGGGAUAACUUCAGGAAACUGGGGCUAAUACCGGAUAGGAGCUCCUGCUGCAUGGUGGGGGUUGGAAAGUUUCGGCGGUUGGGGAUGGACUAGCGGCUUAUCAGCUUGUUGGUGGGGUAGUGGCUUACCAAGGCUUUGACGGGUAGCCGGCCUGAGAGGGUGACCGGCCACAUUGGGACUGAGAUGCGGCCCAGACUCCUACGGGAGGCAGCAGUGGGGAAUAUUGCACAAUGGGCGGAAGCCUGAUGCAGCAACGCCGCGUGCGGGAUAACGGCCUUCGGGUUGUAAACCGCUUUCGCCUGUGACGAAGCGUGAGUGACGGUAAUGGGUAAAGAAGCACCGGCUAACUACGUG
RNAcentral lists this ribosomal RNA (468 nucleotides) under uncultured bacterium. Its description in RNAcentral is "partial 16S ribosomal RNA". It matches the Rfam family "Bacterial small subunit ribosomal RNA", at positions 28 to 507 of the family's 1533-position model. The record is from RNAcentral.